RNAcentral lists this ribosomal RNA (497 nucleotides) under uncultured bacterium. Its description in RNAcentral is "partial 16S ribosomal RNA". It matches the Rfam family "Bacterial small subunit ribosomal RNA", at positions 28 to 507 of the family's 1533-position model. The record is from RNAcentral.
GAUGAACGCUGGCGGCGUGCUUAAUACAUGCAAGUCGAGCGAACGGACGAGAAGCUUGCUUCUCUCAUGUUAGCGGCGGACGGGUGAGUAACACGUGUAUAACCUACCUAUAAUACUGGUAUAACUUCGGGAAACCGGAUCUAAUCCCGGAUAAUAUUUUGAACCGCAUGGUUCAAAAGUGAAAGACGGUCUUGCUGGCACUUAUAGAUGCAUCCGCGCUGCAUUAGCUAGUUGGUAAGGUAACGGCUUACCACGGCAACGAUGCAUAGCCGACAUGAGAGGGUGAUCGGCGGCACUAGAACUGAGACACGGUCAAGAAUCCUACGGGAGGCAGCAGAAGGGAAUAUGAGGCAAUGGGCGAGAACAUGACGGAACAGCGGCGCGUGUGUGAUGAAGAUGUCGGGAGCGUAAAACUCGGUUAUUGGUGAAGAACAUCUGUGUAAGUAACUGUGCAGAGAUUGACGGUACCGAAUAAAGAAGCAACGGCUAACUACGUG